Long non-coding RNA from Suricata suricatta (meerkat), 598 nucleotides. RefSeq lists it as uncharacterized. The transcript is spliced from 4 exons. The record is from RefSeq and is a predicted model, not a curated record. NCBI's taxonomy places the organism in Eukaryota, Metazoa, Chordata, Mammalia, Carnivora, Herpestidae.
GAGAGUAUAUAACUGAAGGUGAAUAUAAGGACUACGAAGCAUCUAAGAACAGUUGCAGAAGGCUAACGUUUAAAAUGAGCUUAGCCCUGCGGAAGAGAAAACGUAAAGAAAAACCAAGGAAGCGUUUCUCCAGCGAGGCUAGAAGACCACCAAGCAGUGGAUGUGCUGCUGAAAGCCAGCAGGUGACAGAGGACAAGAAAAAGGCACUGUUGUAUGGGAGCUGCUCUCCCCGACACAGGAAGAGACCCACCAGGGCUUCUGUAUUCUUGGAUGCCUCUGCUGCUGCUGCUAAAAUAGCUCCACUGAGAUGUUCUUACAAGGACUUACAGUUUCUACGUCGUCUCAGAGGGAUACAAAGGCUACUGCCCAUCACCUUGAAGUCUUUCCAGUCACUUUUCUAAUCCGCAGUGUUCACAUACCGGAGACAAUAAAUAAAAACAACUUAUCUGUGAAACCCAAGAACAGACCAAAUGGCAAAGAAAAAUAUACUUGGGAAGAACAAACUGGCCAAGACCCUGAGAGGUCAUUGGUUCAAAUCCAGACUAUGCUGCCAGAAACUAAAGGUUACUGUAGGGCAGUAGUUUGCUUAUGAAAAUGG